Molecule: unclassified non-coding RNA, 229 nt
Filed under: uncultured fungus
Lineage: Eukaryota; Fungi
Description: sequence contains ITS1, 5.8S rRNA gene
Rfam family: 5.8S ribosomal RNA (bases 181-229)
Source: RNAcentral
UGUCCGUAGGUGAACCUGCGGAGGGAUCAUUACUGAGUGAGGGCUCACGCCCGACCUCCAACCCUUUGUGAACACAUCUUGUUGCUUCGGGGGCGACCCUGCCGGCACUCUGUCGCCGGGCGCCCCCGAAGGUCUCCUAACACUGCAUCUUUGCGUCGGAGUUUAAAACAAAUUAAACAAAACUUUCAACAACGGAUCUCUUGGUUCUGGCAUCGAUGAAGAACGCAGC